AUAAAUACCGGCUUCUCUGUUGAAUUAAAAACUUUACUUCUACCUUCAUCAAGCUUUCUAAGUCUUUUCCUUUCCCCAUAUCUUCUCAUUCGCCACCCGUUGAGUCAAUUCCGUUAGUACCAAAACACCAAUUUUCAUCUAUUUAAUUUCCGCUUCCUUCUAUCUAAAUCAGUGGCAAAAACCUCCAAGAUCGUCCCAUAAAAGGAGAAAGCUUCUUCCUCUUCUUCCUGGCAGGCUGGUGACAAAACAUCGGUAGAACCGCUCCCUCCAUGAGUAUGUUCUCGGCCCUUGCAUCCUAAAACUUGGCUU
This 309-nucleotide long non-coding RNA is filed under the name Nicotiana benthamiana. RNAcentral describes it as "long non-coding RNA (NBEN_LNC031455)". Lineage: Eukaryota; Viridiplantae; Streptophyta; Magnoliopsida; Solanales; Solanaceae. The record is from RNAcentral.